ACGGUGUGGGAUCCCGUGGAGUUGGGUUUACAGCCUGUUGUGAACCACCUGGCAUGGCUGCUGAAGAUCAAACUCUGGUUCUCCGGAAGAGGAAAGCAGUCGUAACCACUGGGCGAGUUUUCCAGCCCAGCGUUUAGAUCCGAAGUAGAUUUUAUAGGCUACAGAUGGGGAAAAAGGGCUGGAGAGACAGCUCAGCAGUUCAGAGCAUUGGCUGUUCUUCCAGAGAACCCUGGGUCAAUCCCGGCACCCACAUGGCAAGCUCACAACUCUCUGUUCUAUAACUCAGCUUCUAGUGGAUCUGACCUUCUCACACAAACACCACAUGUACAUAAAAAUAAAUAAAUUUUUAAAACUU
Meriones unguiculatus (Mongolian gerbil) is the source of this 355-nucleotide long non-coding RNA. RefSeq lists it as uncharacterized. The transcript has 2 exons. The record is from RefSeq and is a predicted model, not a curated record. Lineage: Eukaryota; Metazoa; Chordata; Mammalia; Rodentia; Muridae.